AGUGAACGCUGGCGGUAGGCCUAACACAUGCAAGUCGAACGGCAGCACAGUAAGAGCUUGCUCUUACGGGUGGCGAGUGGCGGACGGGUGAGGAAUACAUCGGAAUCUACUUUUUCGUGGGGGAUAACGUAGGGAAACUUACGCUAAUACCGCAUACGACCUACGGGUGAAAGCAGGGGAUCUUCGGACCUUGCGCGAUUGAAUGAGCCGAUGUCGGAUUAGCUAGUUGGCGGGGUAAAGGCCCACCAAGGCGACGAUCCGUAGCUGGUCUGAGAGGAUGAUCAGCCACACUGGAACUGAGACACGGUCAAGACUCCUACGGGAGGCAGCAGUGGGGAAUAUUGGACAAUGGGCGCAAGCCUGAUCCAGCCAUACCGCGUGGGUGAAGAAGGCCUUCGGGUCGUAAAGACCUUUUGUUGGGAAAGAAAAGCAGCAGGUUAAUACCCCGCUGUUCUGACGGUACCCAAAGAAUAAGCACCGGCUAACUUCGUG
Molecule: ribosomal RNA, 492 nt
Filed under: uncultured bacterium
Lineage: Bacteria
Description: partial 16S ribosomal RNA
Rfam family: Bacterial small subunit ribosomal RNA
Source: RNAcentral